UAGAAAUGUUAACCUACCUGGAGCUAAAAUGUUUUUAUUUUCAUAAGUGAGCAGAAAUCUAUAUUGUGAGGCUGAAGAAUGUUUGGUUCACUAACUAGUCAUUCAAAUACUAAAAUGAGUGUGGACAGAGGCCUUGCUAUUGAACUGGCUGAUUUAAGCCUGAAGAAGCCAGAUGAAUCUGCUUCACUGGGACAGAGUUACAUGGGGAAUGAGUCCAUGUGUCCUCAGUUAACCCUGAAAGAGAAACACAGGUUGAUUAAUCGUGAGGACUCUGACUUCUCUCUGCCCAGCAAUUUGUCAAUGAAAAGAGAGCAGUCAAUGCGUAAUCCUUUCAACUACAGCGGAGAAGCAAUCCCUACAGAACUGAAAAUGUUUUUUUUUUUUUUAUUCUGUGGAACACCAAAGAAGACAUUCUGAAGAAUGUUUAAACUGCAAGUCUUUUCAACACAACAAAAGCAGACAGAAACCAGCCCAGUCUCCUAAAAAAAAAAAAAAAAAAAAAGGAGAAAACUUUUUAACAAGUUGGUGAUUUUGUAUCAGUCUGUAUAACUUGAUUCAUAAAAAUAUGUAUUAUUUAAAAAAAAUAAAUAAGUAAAUACAAUAAACAUGAAAAUCAACUUAUAAACCUAAUACUCAGUAGUGGGGUAUAAGCAGAUCAUACCAACAAAAAAAAAAAUGUUUGAAUGAGUUCA
Molecule: long non-coding RNA, 692 nt
Organism: Sinocyclocheilus rhinocerous
Lineage: Eukaryota; Metazoa; Chordata; Actinopteri; Cypriniformes; Cyprinidae
Exons: 5
Source: RefSeq, a predicted model, not a curated record